This 497-nucleotide ribosomal RNA is filed under the name uncultured bacterium. RNAcentral's name for it is "partial 16S ribosomal RNA". It matches the Rfam family "Bacterial small subunit ribosomal RNA", at positions 28 to 507 of the family's 1533-position model. The record is from RNAcentral.
GAUGAACGCUGGCGGCGUGCCUAAUACAUGCAAGUCGAGCGAACGGACGAGAAGCUUGCUUCUCUGAUGUUAGCGGCGGACGGGUGAGUAACACGUGGAUAACCUAUCUAUAAGACUGGGAUAACUUCGGGAAACCGGAGCUAAUACCGGAUAAUAUUUUGAACCGCAUGGUUCAAAAGUGAAAGACGGUCUUGCUGUCACUUAUAGAUGGAUCCGCGCUGCAUUAGCUAGUUGGUAAGGUAACGGCUUACCAAGGCAACGAUGCAUAGCCGACCUGAGAGGGUGAUCGGCCACACUGGAACUGAGACACGGUCCAGACUCCUACGGGAGGCAGCAGUAGGGAAUCUUCCGCAAUGGGCGAAAGCCUGACGGGGCAACGCCGCGUGAGUGAUGAAGGUCUUCGGAUCGUAAAACUCUGUUAUUAGGGAAGAACAUAUGUGUAAGUAACUGUGCACAUCUUGACGGUACCUAAUCAGAAAGCCACGGCUAACUACGUG